Molecule: non-coding RNA, 100 nt
Filed under: Brevibacillus borstelensis
Lineage: Bacteria; Bacillati; Bacillota; Bacilli; Caryophanales; Paenibacillaceae
Also listed under: 1 other name
Description: Guanine sequence
Rfam family: Purine riboswitch aptamer
About the family: Riboswitches are metabolite binding domains within certain messenger RNAs that serve as precision sensors for their corresponding targets. Allosteric rearrangement of mRNA structure is mediated by ligand binding, and this results in modulation of gene expression.
Source: RNAcentral
AAACGAAAAAUCCGACAGAUUCGUAUAUCCUCAGAAAUAAGGUUUGAGGGUCUCUACAAGGAACCGUAAAUUCCUAACUACGAAUGGGUGUAUCGCUAUA